CUAUAAUGCAGUCGAGCGAACAGACGAGGAGCUUGCUCCUUUGACGUUAGCGGCGGACGGGUGAGUAACACGUGGGUAACCUACCUAUAAGACUGGGAUAACUUCGGGAAACCGGAGCUAAUACCGGAUAAUAUUUCGAACCGCAUGGUUCGAUAGUGAAAGAUGGCUCUGCUAUCACUUAUAGAUGGACCUGCGCCGUAUUAGCUAGUUGGUAAGGUAACGGCUUACCAAGGCAACGAUACGUAGCCGACCUGAGAGGGUGAUCGGCCACACUGGAACUGAGACACGGUCCAGACUCCUACGGGAGGCAGCAGUAGGGAAUCUUCCGCAAUGGGCGAAAGCCUGACGGAGCAACGCCGCGUGAGUGAUGAAGGUCUUCGGAUCGUAAAACUCUGUUAUUAGGGAAGAACAAACGUGUAAGUAACUGUGCACGUCUUGACGGUACCUAAUCAGAAAGCCACGGCUAACUACGUGCCAGCAGCCGCGGUAAUACGUAGGUGGCAAGCGUUAUCCGGAAUUAUUGGGCGUAAAGCGCGCGUAGGCGGUUUUUUAAGUCUGAUGUGAAAGCCCACGGCUCAACCGUGGAGGGUCAUUGGAAACUGGAAAACUUGAGUGCAGAAGAGGAAAGUGGAAUUCCAUGUGUAGCGGUGAAAUGCGCAGAGAUAUGGAGGAACACCAGUGGCGAAGGCGACUUUCUGGUCUGUAACUGACGCUGAUGUGCGAAAGCGUGGGGAUCAAACAGGAUUAGAUACCCUGGUAGUCCACGCCGUAAACGAUGAGUGCUAAGU
Molecule: ribosomal RNA, 788 nt
Filed under: Staphylococcus hominis
Lineage: Bacteria; Bacillati; Bacillota; Bacilli; Caryophanales; Staphylococcaceae
Description: bacterial SSU rRNA
Rfam family: Bacterial small subunit ribosomal RNA
Source: RNAcentral